Molecule: ribosomal RNA, 467 nt
Filed under: uncultured bacterium
Lineage: Bacteria
Description: partial 16S ribosomal RNA
Rfam family: Bacterial small subunit ribosomal RNA
Source: RNAcentral
GACGAACGCUGGCGGCGUGCUUAACACAUGCAAGUCGAACGGAAAGGCCCUGCUUUUGUGGGGUGCUCGAGUGGCGAACGGGUGAGUAACACGUGAGUAACCUGCCCUUGACUUUGGGAUAACUUCACGAAACUGGGGCUAAUACCGGAUAUGAGCUCCUGCUGCAUGUUGGGGGUUGGAAAGUUUCGGCGGUUGGGGAUGGACUCGCGGCUUAUCAGCUUGUUGGUAUGGUAGUGGCUUACCAAGGCUUUGACGGCUAGCCGGCCUGGGAGGGUGACCGGCCACAUGGGGACUGGGAGACGGCCCGGAGGCAUACGGGAGGCAGGAGCGGAGAAUAGUGCGCAAGGGGCGGAAGCCUGAUGCAGCAACGCCGGGUGGGGGAUGACGGCCUUCGGGUGGUAACCCGUUUUCGACUGUGACGAAGCGUGAGGGACGGUAAUGGGUAGAGAAACACCGGUUAACUAGGU